This is a long non-coding RNA of Mauremys mutica (yellowpond turtle), 1186 nucleotides long. RefSeq lists it as uncharacterized. The record is from RefSeq and is a predicted model, not a curated record. NCBI's taxonomy places the organism in Eukaryota, Metazoa, Chordata, Testudines, Geoemydidae. The transcript is spliced from 8 exons.
GCUUCACAAUACUUAUCAUAUUGUAAUCAACAACUGCAGCUCUGUUUCAGUUUUCCUCUUGAAGAAUUGUUUUUCAACUGGAACUUGAUGAAUGACCGUUAUGAGUUUUCAGGGAUUACACAUUUUUGUGCACGGCGUAAAGAAAUACUGGCAUUAACAGCACCCCGUUCAUGUGGUUCCCUCGUCCCGGAAGAGUACAACACAGGGAUAUAUGUGUAAGGACAACAUACUGCUAGAAGGGGCCCUGGAGAGCAGCAAAUGGCAACCAGACUGCAGAGCUGGCACUUCUGUUCCUCAUGGAUGCAUAGAAUCUACAUGAUUUGGAGAUGUACCCCCAAGGAAAAGCAUCCCCAUCUACCAGCCUCCACACAACUCCUUUGAUGCGCAUCUGAUCAUGCAAGGUUCUUAUGGAAAUUACACCAGCCUUGCACAAUUGCCAUGGAAAUUUUCCAGCCCAGAAUCUAGAUGGAAGAAUGGAGAUAACCAUACAAUACCACUGGGAAAUAUUUUGAAAUCCUUAAGUUAAUAGACAAGAGAACUGACCUUGCACUGAAGUAGUUUUGUAGGGAAAUUCCACACUGGCGGGUAAAUAAGGAAACAUUUUUGCAGCAAGUUGCUUUUUAAAAAAUGGCAGCUGCUUGGAAGCUGCUGAAAGGUUUGGAAUCUGAGGCAGCAGAAAUGGAAUAGUGGGCCAAGUUCAGGAAGAAGUUAUUUCAACAACUAGGCCACAGUUCUAUACUCCCUUACUUAGGCAAAAUUCCUAUUGAUGUCAAUGGGAGUUAUGUCUGAGUGAGGCCUGCAUGUCUAUUUCUGUUCGACACACAAGGUUUCUUUUCUGACUGAAACUAAUUGUCAAAUUGGACCCAAAGUCAUGAAUAGUUUUGGUGCCGCAGUAAAUUAAAUAUUCACCAGAAGGUUUGCCUGCUUUAGUAAUUACAUAGCCAUGUUAUUCAUCAUACCUCACUGCAGGAUUUGUCUUACACCUAUGUUAACAGAACAACAAAUUUGGAUAUUGUCAUUGUAUUAAGUGCUACACUCAAGUUUGGCUGAUUGUUUUGUGUUAAUAGAGUUAACAUUGGGAAAAAUUACAUAGACACUGUAAAGUCCACUCAUAUAUAAGUUAAUUAUCAAAACUAUCACACCUCCACCUUGUGUAAUGAAGCUAUGAUGGAUUUCACAUCAAAAG